This 82-nucleotide microRNA precursor is filed under the name Drosophila grimshawi. RNAcentral's name for it is "microRNA dgr-mir-274 precursor". Its record names the gene dgr-mir-274. It matches the Rfam family "mir-274 microRNA precursor family", at positions 13 to 83 of the family's 97-position model. Lineage: Eukaryota; Metazoa; Arthropoda; Insecta; Diptera; Drosophilidae. The record is from miRBase by way of RNAcentral.
UCGGUUUGUGACCGACACUAACGGGUAGUUAAAGGGCAUCCUCGCAUUCUGCUGGCUUACUCGUUUUUGCGAUCACAAAUUC